This is a long non-coding RNA of Anneissia japonica, 569 nucleotides long. RefSeq lists it as uncharacterized. Lineage: Eukaryota; Metazoa; Echinodermata; Crinoidea; Comatulida; Comatulidae. The record is from RefSeq and is a predicted model, not a curated record. The transcript has 3 exons.
GAAAAAGAAUAAUAUUUUUUUUUACCACUCCAGGUGGCGUUUUACAUUUAAAUAUUACUCAAUGGACUACGAAAGAGACUUUACAAUUAAUAACAAAUCUCAAGACAGACAGUGUAUAUUUAAAUUGGACCUCAUUGGAAAUGGGCUGGACUCGGCCUAAUGGGCGUUCCUGAUGCUUAUUACGUGAUGUAUACAAAGAAGCCACAACUAUCAGGAAAGAAUGUCAGGACUCAAACGUGAAAGGGCAACAGAACUUACAAAUUAUUCAUAGAUAGCCAAAAAUUGUGUCACUCAUCAAACUUCCUGCAAAAAUUAUGGAUAUGAAAUUAAUUCAAAUAUAGUUUAAAUUUUAUUUUCAAAAUGUUUUCCUCUGCAAUAAUCACAAAAAAUAAUCUUAGUAUUAUGUAGUAAUUAUUGUAGACUUUAUUUUUUAAUAUUGUAUUAUUACUGCUAAUGUUUAUCUUAUUAAUAGAGAAAAUAAUCCGUUUGUUGUAAGGAAUAUAGACAUGUAAAAUAAUAAGAUAUAACAUUUUGAGGAUUAAAAUCAGAUUUAUUGAUUUUUACCGGAU